AUUGAACGCUGGCGGCAGGCCUAACACAUGCAAGUCGAGCGGAUGAAGGGAGCUUGCUCCUGGAUUCAGCGGCGGACGGGUGAGUAAUGCCUAGGAAUCUGCCUGGUAGUGGGGGAUAACGUCCGGAAACGGGCGCUAAUACCGCAUACGUCCUGAGGGAGAAAGUGGGGGAUCUUCGGACCUCACGCUAUCAGAUGAGCCUAGGUCGGAUUAGCUAGUUGGUGGGGUAAAGGCCUACCAAGGCGACGAUCCGUAACUGGUCUGAGAGGAUGAUCAGUCAAAAUGGAAAUGAGAAAACGGCCAGAAUCCUAAGGGAGGGAAGAGGGGGGAAUAAUGGAAAAUGGGGGGAAGCCUGGACCAGGCAAGGCGGGGGGGUGAAAGAAGGCUUUCGAUUGGUAAAGAAUUUAAGGUGGGAAGAAAGGCAAGAAGGUAAUACCUUGCUGUUUUGACGUUACCAACAGAAUAAGCACCGGCUAACUUCGUG
Molecule: ribosomal RNA, 484 nt
Filed under: uncultured bacterium
Lineage: Bacteria
Description: partial 16S ribosomal RNA
Rfam family: Bacterial small subunit ribosomal RNA
Source: RNAcentral